Acanthosepion pharaonis is the source of this 109-nucleotide non-coding RNA. Lineage: Eukaryota; Metazoa; Mollusca; Cephalopoda; Sepiida; Sepiidae. The record is from the annotation of a GenBank genome assembly.
UGACGGCCAUAUAGCGCAGAUAUAUCGGUUCACGUACGAUCAUCGAAGUUAAGCAAUGCCGAUCUUGGUCAGUACCUAAAUGGGUGACCGCUUGCGAAUACCACGAAGC